AUUGAACGCUGGCGGCAGGCCUAACACAUGCAAGUCGAGCGGAUGAAGGGAGCUUGCUCCUGGAUUCAGCGGCGGACGGGUGAGUAAUGCCUAGGAAUCUGCCUGGUAGUGGGGGAUAACGUCCGGAAACGGGCGCUAAUACCGCAUACGUCCUGAGGGAGAAAGUGGGGGAUCUUCGGACCUCACGCUAUCAGAUGAGCCUAGGUCGGAUUAGCUAGUUGGUGGGGUAAAGGCCUACCAAGGCGACGAUCCUUAACUGGUCUGAGAGGAUGAUCAGUCACACUGGAACUGAGACACGGUCCAGACUCCUACGGGAGGCAGCAGUGGGGAAUAUUGGACAAUGGGCGAAAGCCUGAUCCAGCCAUGCCGCGUGUGUGAAGAAGGUCUUCGGAUUGUAAAGCACUUUAAGUUGGGAGGAAGGGCAGUAAGUUAAUACCUUGCUGUUUUGACGUUACCAACAGAGUAAGCACCGGCUAACUUCGUG
This 484-nucleotide ribosomal RNA is filed under the name uncultured bacterium. RNAcentral describes it as "partial 16S ribosomal RNA". It matches the Rfam family "Bacterial small subunit ribosomal RNA", at positions 30 to 507 of the family's 1533-position model. The record is from RNAcentral.